RNAcentral lists this ribosomal RNA (575 nucleotides) under Candida tropicalis. RNAcentral's name for it is "eukaryotic LSU rRNA". It matches the Rfam family "Eukaryotic large subunit ribosomal RNA", at positions 62 to 653 of the family's 3401-position model. Lineage: Eukaryota; Fungi; Ascomycota; Pichiomycetes; Serinales; Debaryomycetaceae. The record is from RNAcentral.
AAACCAACAGGGAUUGCCUUAGUAGCGGCGAGUGAAGCGGCAAAAGCUCAAAUUUGAAAUCUGGCUCUUUCAGAGUCCGAGUUGUAAUUUGAAGAAGGUAUCUUUGGGUCUGGCUCUUGUCUAUGUUUCUUGGAACAGAACGUCACAGAGGGUGAGAAUCCCGUGCGAUGAGAUGAUCCAGGCCUAUGUAAAGUUCCUUCGAAGAGUCGAGUUGUUUGGGAAUGCAGCUCUAAGUGGGUGGUAAAUUCCAUCUAAAGCUAAAUAUUGGCGAGAGACCGAUAGCGAACAAGUACAGUGAUGGAAAGAUGAAAAGAACUUUGAAAAGAGAGUGAAAAAGUACGUGAAAUUGUUGAAAGGGAAGGGCUUGAGAUCAGACUUGGUAUUUUGUAUGUUACUUCUUCGGGGGUGGCCUCUACAGUUUAUCGGGCCAGCAUCAGUUUGGGCGGUAGGAGAAUUGCGUUGGAAUGUGGCACGGCUUCGGUUGUGUGUUAUAGCCUUCGUCGAUACUGCCAGCCUAGACUGAGGACUGCGGUUUAUACCUAGGAUGUUGGCAUAAUGAUCUUAAGUCGCCCGCU